Molecule: ribosomal RNA, 449 nt
Filed under: uncultured bacterium
Lineage: Bacteria
Description: partial 16S ribosomal RNA
Rfam family: Bacterial small subunit ribosomal RNA
Source: RNAcentral
AACGAACGCUGGCGGCAGGCUUAACACAUGCAAGUCGAACGCAUCCUUCGGGGUGAGUGGCAGACGGGUGAGUAACGCGUGGGAAUCUACCCAGUUCUACGGAACAACAGAGGGAAACUUCUGCUAAUACCGUAUACGCCCUAUGGGGGAAAGAUUUAUCGGAAUUGGAUGAGCCCGCGUAAGAUUAGCUAGUUGGUGAGGUACCGGCUCACCAAGGCGACGAUCCAUAGCUGGUCUGAGAGGAUGAUCAGCCACACUGGGACUGAGACACGGCCCAGACUCCUACGGGAGGCAGCAGUGGGGAAUAUUGGACAAUGGGCGCAAGCCUGAUCCAGCCAUGCCGCGUGAGUGAUGAAGGCCUUAGGGUUGUAAAGCUCUUUCAGUGGGGACGAUAAUGACGGUACCCACAGAAGAAGCCCCGGCUAACUUCGUGCCAGCCGCCGCCGUAA